Molecule: ribosomal RNA, 497 nt
Filed under: uncultured bacterium
Lineage: Bacteria
Description: partial 16S ribosomal RNA
Rfam family: Bacterial small subunit ribosomal RNA
Source: RNAcentral
GAUGAACGCUGGCGGCGUGCCUAAUACAUGCAAGUCGAGCGAACGGACGAGAAGCUUGCUUCUCUGAUGGUAGCGGCGGACGGGUGAGUAACACGUGGAUAACCUACCUAUAAGACUGGGAUAACUUCGGGAAACCGGAGCUAAUACCGGAUGAUAUUUUGAACCGCAUGGUUCAAAAGUGAAAGACGGUCUUGCUGUCACUUAUAGAUGGAUCCGCGCUGCAUUAGCUAGUUGGUAAGGUAACGGCUUACCAAGGCAACGAUGCAUAGCCGACCUGAGAGGGUGAUCGGCCACACUGGAACUGAGACACGGUCCAGACUCCUACGGGAGGCAGCAGUAGGGAAUCUUCCGCAAUGGGCGAAAGCCUGACGGAGCAACGCCGCGUGAGUGAUGAAGGUCUUCGGAUCGUAAAACUCUGUUAUUAGGGAAGAACAUAUGUGUAAGUAACUGUGCACAUCUUGACGGUACCUAAUCAGAAAGCCCCGGCUAACUACGUG